Molecule: non-coding RNA, 681 nt
Filed under: Pan troglodytes (chimpanzee)
Lineage: Eukaryota; Metazoa; Chordata; Mammalia; Primates; Hominidae
Source: RNAcentral
AGAGUUGUGGAUCAUGGGCAAGAAAAGCGCUGUUCUGGGACUGCGGGGCAGGAGAAGGAAACUGAUGCUUCUGAGGGUGAGUCUGAUGAGAUAACAUGCCUGUGUGUGGGCCUCAGGUUAGACAGUGCUGAGGUCUCCCAUCACUGGGCAUCCAGCUGGGUGCUAUGGCCGUGGCUCCUGCCUUCUGCAGCCCUGUCAGGGCCCAAGGCCUUCCCCAUCAGCACUUGCUCCAGCCUACUCACUGGAGUUGUGUUCUGGGUGGGUGUGUAGAAUACUCGCACUCCUACUUGGGGCAUCAGGGAGCUCUCUAGCAAUUUCUUCUGCACCUAGGGAGAGCCCACUGCUAAAAAAGGCCUGGUCAAAUCCUCAGGUGUACAUGGACAUCAAGAUUGGGAACAAGCCGGCUGGCUGCAUCCAAACCCUCCUGCGUUCCGACGUCGUGCCCAUGACCGCAGAAACAAGGAGAGUCAGCAAUUACCAGCCAGCCGAGGUCCUGGAAGCUGACGUAGAGCUCGUGCCGACGGCAGACCUGCCGGCCGUGGGAGCCGUGGACGUCAUCUGCAGGGACAGAAGGGGCAAGGUCUUUUCUGGGGUUCCUGCUGUGUGCAGCUACUAUGGGGUACCAGGGUGGGGGAUGCCCUGAUGAGCACAUUUGUCAAAUAAAUGAAUGACAGGAAACCA